RNAcentral lists this microRNA (23 nucleotides) under Caenorhabditis brenneri. RNAcentral describes it as "cbn-miR-7625". The record is from miRBase by way of RNAcentral. Lineage: Eukaryota; Metazoa; Nematoda; Chromadorea; Rhabditida; Rhabditidae.
GGGACCUUCAAUUCGUUCAGAGA